Long non-coding RNA from Musa acuminata AAA Group (dessert banana), 1339 nucleotides. RefSeq lists it as uncharacterized. The record is from RefSeq and is a predicted model, not a curated record. Lineage: Eukaryota; Viridiplantae; Streptophyta; Magnoliopsida; Zingiberales; Musaceae. The transcript has 4 exons.
ACUCGGAGGUGGGUAGGGAUCGGCUGUGAAGAUAUAGGCAGGGUGACGGCUUUUUCCCAUCGCACUGGCCGAGUGGGGACCACAGAAUUCGCAUAUUUUGCCUUGGUUGGAACAUCUGAUCCUCAUGUUCGAGAACGUUUUAAGAGCUUAGAGUUGUUUCGUGUCACGACUUGAAAGAUGGCUGAUGCAGGCGGAGUUGGAGAACAUCAACAAGGCACCGACCUGGUCCCACUUCUCUCGUCUCCUCGAUGUUCGCCACGUCGAGCUGUUGCGCUCAUCGAGGGGUUAAACCCGAGCUCCACUGGUUCGCCGUUCGAACGACCAGAAAAAUGGCAGUUGCUUCCGCCGCCACUAUGGCCGUCGCAUCGCAGCCUACGUCCCUCUUCGUCCUCCGCCACUCGGCUACCGCCUCCCGGAUCUUUCCCCCCACUGCGCGCUUCUUCCGCCCCUCGAACCCCGGGCCGCCUCAUUUCCUAUCACCUUCCUUCCCUUGAUCGACGGAAAUCACUGAGUCGCCGCCGCCGCUGAUUCCGAGGCACAGGAUGUCGAGGUAGAUGUACAAGACGACGAAGCAGGAGGAGUCGAGGGGCCCCAUCACGGCUCGGGUGCUGGCGAAGGCGACGACGACCGCUCCGAGGAGGCGAGGAGGGAGGGGUCGACAAGGAGAAGAAGUUGACGCCGGUUUUCGCGGCCCUCGUUGGUGUUGGUGGAAUCGUGCGAUAUGUCAAAAGUGGAAGUCAGAAGUCAUUAGCUGCCUUUCUACCGUAUUAUGUGUAUGCAUGACUUCCGGCAAUAGCAGCUUUUGCAUCAUCUACGAGACUUGGUGUAUCUGCCACCCUCCGUGCGGUGAUCGGUGGCUAAAUCCUCCGUGUCUGAUACCUACUACCACCGGACUCUGUGACUGGCCCCUGUUGUUACGAAAUAUCUAUUGAAGUUUACGUGAUCGGACACGAAUCAACAGGAUUAUUUCCUGACAAAAGUAGAGAGAACAUGGAAAGAAGAACAAGUUGACGGUGGAGCAGGAAGCUCACCUGUCCCGGCGUUUCUCCAGGAAACGCUGAAGCGAGUGCCUUCUUGCCAUGGGCAGUUCUGCAAGCGAGCAAGAAGAGGAGUCACUAAUAAUCUCUGAUCUGUGAGCUAAUGGUGGAGAAAAAGGAACCACUAGAACCAAGGAAGAGGGGGGAGUUCCGACCAUCUUGCAGCUUGCACAGAGCGUCGCUGGCGGUAGGCAUCAGCUGCGGCUGGGGCUGCCCGCCGGCAGUGGAGCUUUGCAGUGACAGAGACCUCGUGAGCACCGGCCCGAGCGCCGCGGCGGCCGCGGCAGCGCUGGGGCCGACAA